This 258-nucleotide long non-coding RNA is filed under the name Helianthus annuus (common sunflower). RNAcentral's name for it is "Bacterial large subunit ribosomal RNA". It matches the Rfam family "Bacterial large subunit ribosomal RNA", at positions 1573 to 1825 of the family's 2925-position model. Lineage: Eukaryota; Viridiplantae; Streptophyta; Magnoliopsida; Asterales; Asteraceae. The record is from RNAcentral.
ACUGUUGUCAUAGUCAACAAGGUUGAAACUUCCAGGAAAAAACUUCAAAUUGGGAGGGCGAUCCUCCCGGUGAACUGACCGUACCCCAAACCGACACAGGUGAACAAGUAGAGUAUACUAGGGCGCUUGAGAGAACCAUGUCGAAGGAACUCGGCAAAAUGACCCCGUAACUUCGGGAGAAGGGGUGCUCUCCUAUCUUUUGAUUAGGAAAGCGGCACAUACCAGGGGGUAGCAUCCAAUGCGCCAGAGAGGGGCUUG